Molecule: ribosomal RNA, 422 nt
Filed under: uncultured bacterium
Lineage: Bacteria
Description: bacterial SSU rRNA
Rfam family: Bacterial small subunit ribosomal RNA
Source: RNAcentral
GAAUUUUGGGCAAUGGGCGAAAGCCUGACCCAGCGACGCCGCGUGAAGGAUGAAAUCCCUCGGGAUGUAAACUUCGCAAGAACGGGAAGAAUAAGUAAGAGUUAACAUCUCUUACGAUGACGGUACUGUUUGUAAGCUCCGGCUAACUCCGUGCCAGCAGCCGCGGUAAUACGGGGGGAGCAAGCGUUGUUCGGAAUUACUGGGGGUACAGGGAGCGUAGGCGGUUGGGUAAGCCCUCCGUGAAAUCUCCAGGCUUAACCUGGAAAGUGCAGAGGGGACUGCUCAGCUAGAGGAUGGGAGAGGAGCGCGGAAUUCCCGGUGUAGCGGUGAAAUGCGUAGAGAUCGGGAGGAAGGCCGGUGGCGAAGGCGGCGCUCUGGAACAUUUCUGACGCUGAGGCUCGAAAGCGUGGGGAGCAAACAGG